RNAcentral lists this unclassified non-coding RNA (229 nucleotides) under plant metagenome. Its description in RNAcentral is "partial contains small subunit ribosomal RNA, internal transcribed spacer 1, and 5.8S ribosomal RNA". The record is from RNAcentral.
UCUCCGUAGGUGAACCUGCGGAGGGAUCAUUACAGAGUUCUCGCCCUCGCGGGUUGAUCUCCCACCCACUGUUAUCGUUACUGUGUUGCUUUGGCGGGCCGCCGGGCCCCGCUCGGCCGCCGGCUCCGGCUGGCGCGCGCCCGUCCAAGGCCCAGAAAAAUCUGAAUGGUAGUGUCGUCUGAAUACUAACUCAUAGUUAAAACUUUCAACAACGGAUCUCUUGAUUCUG